Molecule: signal recognition particle RNA, 99 nt
Filed under: Candidatus Palibaumannia cicadellinicola
Lineage: Bacteria; Pseudomonadati; Pseudomonadota; Gammaproteobacteria
Also listed under: 1 other name
Description: signal recognition particle sRNA small type
Rfam family: Bacterial small signal recognition particle RNA
About the family: The signal recognition particle (SRP) is a universally conserved ribonucleoprotein involved in the co-translational targeting of proteins to membranes. Archaeal SRP consists of a 7S RNA and homologues of the eukaryotic SRP19 and SRP54 proteins.
Source: RNAcentral
UUUUAGUGCUCUCGCCUAAUAUUUACUUGUGAAAUCGAUCAGGUCUGGAAGGAAGCAGUCGUAGCAAGCUAAGUAGAAAACGGGAAGUCGUUAAAAGGA